RNAcentral lists this ribosomal RNA (516 nucleotides) under uncultured bacterium. Its description in RNAcentral is "partial 16S ribosomal RNA". It matches the Rfam family "Bacterial small subunit ribosomal RNA", at positions 28 to 523 of the family's 1533-position model. The record is from RNAcentral.
GACGAACGCUGGCGGCAUGCCUAAUACAUGCAGGUCGAGCGGAGUUGAUGGAAAGCUUGCUUUCCUGAUACUUAGCGGCGGACGGGUGAGUAACACGUAGGCAACCUGCCCUCAAGCUUGGGACAACUACCGGAAACGGUAGCUAAUACCGAAUACUUGUUUUCUUCGCCUGAAGAGAACUGGAAAGGCGGAGCAAUCUGUCACUUGGGGAUGGGCCUGCGGCGCAUUAGCUAGUUGGUGAGGUAACGGCUCACCAAGGCGACGAUGCGUAGCCGACCUGAGAGGGUGAUCGGCCACACUGGGACUGAGACACGGCCCAGACUCCUACGGGAGGCAGCAGUAGGGAAUCUUCCGCAAUGGGCGAAAGCCUGACGGAGCAAUGCCGCGUGAGUGAUGAAGGUUUUCGGAUCGUAAAGCUCUGUUGCCAGGGAAGAACGCUUGGGAGAGUAACUGCUCCCAAGGUGACGGUACCUGAGAAGAAAGCCCCGGCUAACUACGUGCCAGCCGCCGCGGUAA